This 379-nucleotide long non-coding RNA is filed under the name Glycine max (soybean). RNAcentral's name for it is "long non-coding RNA (GMAX_LNC002189)". The record is from RNAcentral. Lineage: Eukaryota; Viridiplantae; Streptophyta; Magnoliopsida; Fabales; Fabaceae.
UCGUGUAUAGGUCCUGCCCUGAGGGAUCAACACAACUUUCCUUUGUGCUAACACGAGCAACAGAAGGACCAACCUCAGACAUAGGAGACAGUACGAGUCCUUGUGAUUGCAUCUGGGACUGCAUUUGGCUGAAGGACAACAUUAGUCAUCAAGUUCCUUUUUUUUUUUUAUCAACUCCUCCAGCCGAUCCCUGAUUUUUUGUGACAGCUGCUCCAAGUCUUUGGGAGCCAUGGACAUAGAUGUGCAGGAGCCUCUUGAAAUCGGUUGAAAGUAUUGUUUGAUCAUGACACUGGCUCUAGCAUCACGGACACGACUAGGGUGCUCUAGUCGUCCAAUGGAAACAGCCAGCACAUCUUGACGUCCAUGAGCGACAAAGCUU